RNAcentral lists this ribosomal RNA (267 nucleotides) under uncultured bacterium. RNAcentral's name for it is "partial 16S ribosomal RNA". It matches the Rfam family "Bacterial small subunit ribosomal RNA", at positions 28 to 285 of the family's 1533-position model. The record is from RNAcentral.
GACGAACGCUGGCGGCGUGCUUAACACAUGCAAGUCGUACGAGGAUCCCUUUCGGGGGUGAUGAGUGGCGAACGGGUGAGUAACACGUGGGUAAUCUGCCCUGUACUUUGGGAUAAGCCUUGGAAACGGGGUCUAAUACCGGAUAUGACUGCUCCUCGCAUGGGGGGUGGGUGGAAAGACUCCCGGCGGGUACGGGGAGUGAGGCCCGCCGGCCUAUNAGCGUUGUUUGGGUGGGGGUGGAUGGCCUACCAAGGCGGACGACGGGUA